AUUCCUCACAAUCGCUCCUUGUGAUGCUGCGGAACCAUGGCAAUUAGGAUUCUCCCAUAUGGGCAAGAGCUCCUUCUCUUUUUGCCAAAGACUCGCCAUCUAUAUUGACCGGGAAGAGGGGGGAGGCUCUUGCGGAAGCCCUGCCCGCCCUUCUCUAUUUUGAGGGAUCCCUCAUCUUGAUGAUUCCAGGCUUCCCGGACUUGUAACAGACAGCUAGGAACAAGAAGAGGAUAAGUAGUCUCUGCCGUAGCAGGUCCUUCUCCUUCCGCUGAGAUGGCCCUCUUUUUUUUUCGCAAAAGACCCCUUAGGGGUCGAGCGCCAGCUCGGGGGGUAAGAUCCUAUCUGAAUGAGUAAGAGCUCGAACUUGGUGUAAGGGAAGGGCUAAA
RNAcentral lists this long non-coding RNA (386 nucleotides) under Phoenix dactylifera (date palm). RNAcentral's name for it is "long non-coding RNA (PDAC_LNC013494)". The record is from RNAcentral. Lineage: Eukaryota; Viridiplantae; Streptophyta; Magnoliopsida; Arecales; Arecaceae.